This 476-nucleotide ribosomal RNA is filed under the name Staphylococcus aureus. Its description in RNAcentral is "partial 23S ribosomal RNA". It matches the Rfam family "Bacterial large subunit ribosomal RNA", at positions 245 to 720 of the family's 2925-position model. The record is from RNAcentral. Lineage: Bacteria; Bacillati; Bacillota; Bacilli; Caryophanales; Staphylococcaceae.
AGCGGCGAGCGAAACGGGAAGAGCCCAAACCAACAAGCUUGCUUGUUGGGGUUGUAGGACACUCUAUACGGAGUUACAAAGGACGACAUUAGACGAAUCAUCUGGAAAGAUGAAUCAAAGAAGGUAAUAAUCCUGUAGUCGAAAAUGUUGUCUCUCUUGAGUGGAUCCUGAGUACGACGGAGCACGUGAAAUUCCGUCGGAAUCUGGGAGGACCAUCUCCUAAGGCUAAAUACUCUCUAGUGACCGAUAGUGAACCAGUACCGUGAGGGAAAGGUGAAAAGCACCCCGGAAGGGGAGUGAAAUAGAACCUGAAACCGUGUGCUUACAAGUAGUCAGAGCCCGUUAAUGGGUGAUGGCGUGCCUUUUGUAGAAUGAACCGGCGAGUUACGAUUUGAUGCAAGGUUAAGCAGUAAAUGUGGAGCCGUAGCGAAAGCGAGUCUGAAUAGGGCGUUUAGUAUUUGGUCGUAGACCCGAAA